AGUCGAGGGGUAUAAGGAGCUUGCUCCUUAGAGACCGGCGCACGGGUGCGUAACGCGUAUGCAAUCUACCUUUUACAGGGGAAUAGCCCAGAGAAAUUUGGAUUAAUGCCCCAUAGUAUAUUUGAAUGGCAUCAUUUGAUUAUUAAAGUCACAACGGUAAAAGAUGAGCAUGCGUCCCAUUAGUUAGUUGGUAAGGUAACGGCUUACCAAGACGAUGAUGGGUAGGGGUCCUGAGAGGGAGAUCCCCCACACUGGUACUGAGACACGGACCAGACUCCUACGGGAGGCAGCAGUGAGGAAUAUUGGUCAAUGGGCGCAAGCCUGAACCAGCCAUGCCGCGUGCAGGAUGACGGUCCUAUGGAUUGUAAACUGCUUUUAUACAGGAAGAAACACUCCCUCGUGAGGGAGCUUGACGGUACUGUAAGAAUAAGGAUCGGCUAACUCCGUGCC
Molecule: ribosomal RNA, 450 nt
Filed under: uncultured Bacteroidota bacterium
Lineage: Bacteria; Pseudomonadati; Bacteroidota
Description: bacterial SSU rRNA
Rfam family: Bacterial small subunit ribosomal RNA
Source: RNAcentral